UCAAAUACAUUGUCUGAUGAAAUAUAUCUAAAAAUUGAUAGUAAUUAGUAACGUUAUAUUUCUUUUUUUUGUUUACUUGAUUCAUCAAUAUAAAAUAUCAAUAAGUUAUACAUAUCAGGAGUUCUAUAGAAGACUUUUACUUCAAUAUUAAACGUUCUUUAUCGAUUUAAACUAAUACUUUUUGCUUUUCCUCAACACAUAAAACGUAAUUUAGUAAUAUUUAUGAUUAAGUUAGGUUUACAUACUUAUUAGAUUGAUCCCUAAUGUUGUGCCUCUUAUUUUUACAUAGUUUUUAUCAUUUUUCAGUUUAUUCAGUUAACAAGUGUGCCGGUUUAUUGUACCCCGAUUAGAAUUGCAUUAUCAAAAAAGGGAAUAGUAAAAAUAAAACAUGUAUAUGUAUAUGUUAUGCUAUACAUGCUAAAACAGUUGAUGCUAAAUAUGUUACUGAUUUAAUAUUAUCAUUCAAUGACGUUCAGUAUUGUUUAAACUAUAUAAUUUGCAAAAGAAACUCGUGCAAAUUAAAUUUUUCCUUUUUUUUAAAUAUAGCAAUCUCUAUAUAUUAGAUGUUCAAGAGUUUAACUUACAUUUUUGCUUUGGGUACAAACAGUAGCGAUUAAACGUAAUUUGUAGAAAACAUUUUAAUAGCUUAUGUUUGACGAAGAAAAUGAUUGCCCUUCAUAUGUUUAAACUACAUGAAAUUUAUUUUAUUAUAAAAAUAUAGCAUUGUUGUCUUCGCCGUCGUCGUCGUCGUCGUCGUUAUCGUGAUUGGCGCUUUUUGAUAAGGACAGAGGGUCGCAUUUGGGGUCGCUUUUGAUUUGAAGGACAUGCUACGCCUAUCGGUAAUAUCCUUAAAUCAAAACGGAUAAUAAAACUUUACAACGUGGAAA
Solenopsis invicta (red fire ant) is the source of this 887-nucleotide long non-coding RNA. RefSeq lists it as uncharacterized. NCBI's taxonomy places the organism in Eukaryota, Metazoa, Arthropoda, Insecta, Hymenoptera, Formicidae. The record is from RefSeq and is a predicted model, not a curated record. The transcript has 2 exons.